RNAcentral lists this unclassified non-coding RNA (89 nucleotides) under Pseudomonas sp. NFACC56-3. Lineage: Bacteria; Pseudomonadati; Pseudomonadota; Gammaproteobacteria; Pseudomonadales; Pseudomonadaceae. The record is from RNAcentral.
UGUGGGAGCGAGCUUGCUCGCGAUAGCGGUGGGUCUGUUGGCAUUGAGUUGGCUGUGCCGCCGUCAUCGCGAGCAAGCUCGCUCCCACA